CACGCCGUAAACGAUGAGUACUAGGUGUAGGGGGUAUCGACCCCCUCUGUGCCGAAGCUAACGCGAUAAGUACUCCGCCUGGGGACUACGGCCGCAAGGCUAAAACUCAAAGGAAUUGACGGGGGCCCGCACAAGCAGCGGAGCGUGUGGUUUAAUUCGAUGAUACGCGAAGAACCUCACCCAGGUUUGACAUGCAUGUGGUACGGAUGUGAAAGCUGAAGGACCCUUCGGGGAGCAUGCACAGGUGU
RNAcentral lists this ribosomal RNA (248 nucleotides) under uncultured bacterium. RNAcentral's name for it is "partial 16S ribosomal RNA". It matches the Rfam family "Bacterial small subunit ribosomal RNA", at positions 796 to 1041 of the family's 1533-position model. The record is from RNAcentral.